RNAcentral lists this ribosomal RNA (288 nucleotides) under uncultured bacterium. RNAcentral's name for it is "partial 16S ribosomal RNA". It matches the Rfam family "Bacterial small subunit ribosomal RNA", at positions 29 to 334 of the family's 1533-position model. The record is from RNAcentral.
AACGAACGCUGGCGGCAGGCCUAACACAUGCAAGUCGAGCGAGAAGGGUUCUUCGGGACCUGGGCAGCGGCGGGCGGGUGAGUAACGCGUGGGAAUAUACCUUUUGGUGGGGGACAACAGUUGGAAACGACUGCUAAUACCGCAUACGCCCUUCGGGGGAAAGAUUUAUCGGAGAAGGAUUAGCCCGCGUUAGAUUAGGUAGUUGGUGGGGUAAUGGCCUACCAAGCCUACGAUCUAUAGCUGGUUUGAGAGGAUGAUCAGCCACACUGGGACUGAGACACGGCCCAG